GUACUAGUCUUCUAGUACAUGUACUAAAACUGGAAUGAUACAGAGAAGAUUAGCAUGGCCCCUGGUGCAAGGAUGACAUGCAAACUUGUGAAGCAUUCCUAUUUUUC
Oryzias latipes (Japanese medaka) is the source of this 107-nucleotide non-coding RNA. NCBI's taxonomy places the organism in Eukaryota, Metazoa, Chordata, Actinopteri, Beloniformes, Adrianichthyidae. The record is from Rfam.